This 429-nucleotide ribosomal RNA is filed under the name Cetobacterium somerae. Its description in RNAcentral is "partial 23S ribosomal RNA". It matches the Rfam family "Bacterial large subunit ribosomal RNA", at positions 1340 to 1767 of the family's 2925-position model. The record is from RNAcentral. Lineage: Bacteria; Fusobacteriati; Fusobacteriota; Fusobacteriia; Fusobacteriales; Fusobacteriaceae.
GAAGACCAAGGGUUCCAGGGUAAAGUUUGGCUCCCCUGGGUAAGCCGGGUCCUAAGCCGAGGCUAGAUGGGGUAGGCGAAUGGAAAACGGAUGAAGAGUGCUGUGCCACUGAUAUCAAGUGAUGGAGGGACGCAGGAGGUUAUGCACGCUGGCGAACGGAAGGGCCAGUUCAAGCAUGUAGCGUGGUGUAGUAGGAAAAUCCGCUAGACUAAACGUGAGGUGUGAUGAGGAGUCGUAAGAUGGAAGGUGCAAAUACCACACUGCCGAGAAAAGCUUCUAAGCGUUAGAAAGAAAUUAGUGCCCGUAACCCAAACCGACACUGGUGGUCAGGAUGAGAAAUCUAGGGCGGACAGGCUAACUCUCGUUAAGGAACUCUGCAAAAUAGCCCCGUAACUUCGGGAGAAGGGGUGCCUUUUAUGGUGAGCGUAC